This is a non-coding RNA of Acanthosepion pharaonis, 113 nucleotides long. The record is from the annotation of a GenBank genome assembly. Lineage: Eukaryota; Metazoa; Mollusca; Cephalopoda; Sepiida; Sepiidae.
UUACGACCAUAUCAUGUUGAAAACGUGGUUCACGUACGAUCACCGAAGUUAAGCAACGUCGAGCCUGGUCAGUACCUAGAUGGGUGACCGCUUGGGAAUACCAGGUGCUGUAA